Molecule: small nuclear RNA, 108 nt
Organism: Zalophus californianus (California sea lion)
Lineage: Eukaryota; Metazoa; Chordata; Mammalia; Carnivora; Otariidae
Source: Ensembl
GUGCUUGAUUCAGCAGCACAUGUACUAAAAUUGGAAUGAUACAGGGAAGAUUAGUAUGGUUCCCUGCGCUAGGAUGACACACUAUUUAUUUACAAUCCCUAUGAUACC